GACGAACGCUGGCGGCGCGCCUAACACAUGCAAGUCGAACGGGGUUGUUACUCACACCGAGAUCACAGGGAUGUGAUUUGGGUGUGGGUAACAACCUAGUGGCGGACGGGUGAGUAACACGUGAGCAACCUGCCUUUCAGAGGGGGAUAACGUUGGGAAACUAACGCUAAUACCGCAUAAGCAUACAGCAUCGCAUGGUGCAGUGUGAAAAACUAUGGUGGUACAAGAUGGACCCGCGUCUGAUUAGCUAGUUGGUAAGGUAACGGCUUACCAAGGCGACGAUCAGUAGCCGGCCUGAGAGGGUGAACGGCCACAUUGGGACUGAGACACGGCCCAGACUCCUACGGGAGGCAGCAGUGGGGAAUAUUGCACAAUGGGGGAAACCCUGAUGCAGCGACGCCGCGUGAAGGAAGAAGUAUUUCGGUAUGUAAACUUCUAUCAGCAGGGAAGAAAAUGACGGUACCUGACUAAGAAGCCCCGGCUAAUUACGUGCCAGCCGCCGCCGUAAGAC
RNAcentral lists this ribosomal RNA (511 nucleotides) under uncultured bacterium. RNAcentral describes it as "bacterial SSU rRNA". It matches the Rfam family "Bacterial small subunit ribosomal RNA", at positions 28 to 526 of the family's 1533-position model. The record is from RNAcentral.